RNAcentral lists this small RNA (101 nucleotides) under Yersinia enterocolitica subsp. enterocolitica. The record is from RNAcentral. Lineage: Bacteria; Pseudomonadati; Pseudomonadota; Gammaproteobacteria; Enterobacterales; Yersiniaceae. RNAcentral also lists the same sequence under 4 other names.
UGGCUGAACAAGCCUACGUUAAUGCCAACUUUUAGCGCACGGCUCUCUCCCAAGAGCCAUUUCCCUAGACCGAAUAUAGGAAUCGUAUUCGGUCUUUUUUU